UGAGUUGCACUCUUGCCUUUUGGUCC
Molecule: non-coding RNA, 26 nt
Filed under: Mus musculus (house mouse)
Lineage: Eukaryota; Metazoa; Chordata; Mammalia; Rodentia; Muridae
Source: RNAcentral